Mytilus trossulus (common blue mussel) is the source of this 439-nucleotide long non-coding RNA. RefSeq lists it as uncharacterized. The transcript has 3 exons. The record is from RefSeq and is a predicted model, not a curated record. NCBI's taxonomy places the organism in Eukaryota, Metazoa, Mollusca, Bivalvia, Mytilida, Mytilidae.
UGUCUUAUUCCAUAUAUUUUUUAGCUUAACUGCAAGAAAAGAUCACAACUGUAUCUCACUUCAGUUCCAGGUGAUGUUGACUAUCAAGUUAAAUGCUUUAACCGAGGCUCCUGUCGAUAACGAAUCAACCAAAAAGGUUGUUUUCCGAAAAAUGAAAGGGACAUCUGCCCCCAAAAAAGGAUGACAAUGAAAAAACUAAAGAAUUUAUUGGCCAUGUUAUAGGCGAACUAAAUAAAACAAAUGUUAACAAGGCAAUUCAUGGGAAAGUUUUGAGGCCUUUUGGAAGGCAAUAGAGACAAUGCUACCAGACGAUUCAAGUGAACGAUAAGAAGAACAGGAUUGUGACAAAUUUAAACUUACUUACUCAUAAAACAUAGUUACAUUUACAUGGAGUAAGAUUAUUAAGUCCUCUACUCUGCUAUUGGCAUACCCACCAAGG